Molecule: small RNA, 2821 nt
Filed under: Pan troglodytes (chimpanzee)
Lineage: Eukaryota; Metazoa; Chordata; Mammalia; Primates; Hominidae
Description: retained intron
Source: RNAcentral
AUAUGAUAAUCAUGAAAAAGUUGAAAUAUUCUGAGAAUUCCCAAGCAUGACAGACACAAAUCGAGCACACGGUGUUGUGAAAGUGGUGCCCGUAGACUCUCUUGAUGCAGACUUGCCACAAGCCUUCGGUAUGUAAAAAACCCAAGAACACAAUAUCCGUGAAGCACAGUGAAGUGAGGUGCGCUGUUGAAGUUGAUGGUGUUCACUGUACAUUUCAUAACCACAGUUAGAAUUCUAUACUUUGUCUGGAGUUUGGACUGGGCAAAAAUGUAGUGAUAACCUAUCAGUUAUGGCUUUAGCAGAGACAUAUUCUAUAGGAAGCAACAGAAGCCAGCCCUGGCUAGUGUAGGCGAAAGUAGGGUGUGUAGAAGGGGCCUGGAGUAUCUCACAGGGUCUAAGGAACAGUGGGUACAUGAGCAGCAGGAAGGGAUGGGACCAGGCCAGCCCUGGUCAGGGACUCCCCGUCAGAGCACUGGACUUUACAGUUCUCGAACCUCAGUCCUCGGCGCCCUUCACUUUACAUCUUGAGCAGGAGAAUCAUAGUGGCCAAGAGAAAUCCAGUCAGCUGUUGUGUCCCAGUCAGCUGUAGUCAGAGGCCCAGGGUCACGGAUCAGGAGCCUGACUGCCAGGGGCCCAGUGUGUCCACCCAGCAGGUGACCCCUGUGGCUGUGGGGGAAGCAGUGAGUUGGUGCUGGAGCAUGCCUUUCCUGGGUGUGGCCUGUGCAUUGGUCAGGGGAGGGAGGCCUCUGUCGGGCUGCCUCUGAUCUUCCUCUGUGUCCCCACAGCCGCUCCUCUGGAAGAGCUAACAAUGGGAACCUCCUGCCUCCCUGAUACGUUCACCAAGCUGAUAAACCCCCAGGAAAACACCUGCAGCUUGGAGGAGUUUGUCCUCCAGCUGGAGCUGUCUGGGUAUAGUCCCGAAGACCUGACUGCUGCCUUGGAGAUCUUGGAAGCCAUUAUAGCCACGGGUUGUUUUGGGAUUGACAAGGAGGAGCUGCGCAGACGGUUCUCGGCCUUGGAGAAGGCAGGUGGUGGGCGCACCAGGACAUUCGCAGAUUGCAUCCAGGCCCUCCUGGAGCAGCAUCAGGUGCUGGAGGUCGGUGGCAACACUGCGCGCCUGGUAGCCAUGGGCUCUGCCUGGCCUUGGCUCCUGCACUCCGUGCGGCUGAAAGACAGAGAAGACGCCGACAUCCAGAGAGAAGACCCCCAGGCCAGACCCCUGGAGGGGUCUUCCAGUGAGGACAGCCUCCCCGAGGGGCAGGCACCUCCUUCUCACAGCCCCCGGGGCACCAAGAGGCACGCCAGCUGGGCCAGUGAGAAUGGGGAGACCGACGCCGAGGGCACCCAGAUGACCCCUGCCAAGAGGCCAGCGCUCCAGGACUCAAAUUUGGCCCCCAGCCUUGGGCCCGGAGCUGAAGAUGGGGCAGAAGCCCAGGCCCCAUCUCUACCCCCAGCUCUUGAAGACACCGCUGCAGCGGGAGCAGCACAGGAAGACCAAGAGGGUGUCGGUGAGUUCAGUUCCCCAGGCCAAGAGCAGCUGAGCGGCCAGGCGCAGCCUCCAGAGGGCUCUGAAGACCCCAGAGGUACCGCGCGCCUUGUCCCCCACCCCACCUCACCCCACCCUGGCUUUCCCUCCCCUCCGCCCUGAUGGGCCUCACACCUUCCUCCGAGGAUGGGGGACCUGCCACUGGCACAAAAGGGGCUUGACUUCAGCUUCUCAGAGCCUGAGCCCCGAGGGGGAGGAUACUGCCUGUAAAUGCAUUUCCAGGGGAGGGCAGGCCUCCCACAUCCCCAGGCAGCACUGUGAGUUCCGGAGCAGGAGCUCAGGCGGUGGGGCCAGCGUGUGCACUGCAGCGGCUGCUGUGGGGCAGUGAUGGCAUGGGGGUCUCAACUUCCUCGGGUGGCAGCACGCCCUUUCCUUUCCUGCACGUCUGUCAUCAGCAGCGGCCUUCUCAUGUGGCUUCUCUGGGCGUUUUUGUUUUCUUUGGGGUGUUUUUGCCUCGGGUUUUAUACCACCCUUGUGGUCAGGGCUUCUGGGUGGAAAAUGAGGUGUUCGCUGGCUUCCUGCAAUGUGGGGCUUGUCCGGGCCUGGGACGCUGCUUGCAUGUAGCGCUGUGUGCGGCAGUCUGCCCGGCCCUGCCACCUCCAGGGUGGCCGCUCUGUGAGAUGCUCAUUGUCCUUUUUUUUGACACUUCACCCCCUGAGCCUCGAGGUGCCCUGCUCAUGCUAGGUACCAUGCUGAAGGUUGGAGGGCAGAGAUGGCUUCCCUGACUUUCCGAGUCUCUCACAUUCUCUUCCUCCUCCCUCAGGGUUCACAGAGAGUUUCGGAGCUGGCAACAUCUCCCAGGCAGCACGGGAAAGGGACUGUGAGAGUGUCUGCUUCAUCGGCCGGCCGUGGCGUGUCGUGGAUGGCCACCUGAACCUUCCCGUAUGCAAGGGUAUGAUGGAGGCCAUGCUGUACCACAUCAUGACCAGGCCUGGCAUCCCCGAGAGCUCCCUGCUGCGCCACUACCAGGGGGUCCUGCAGCCCGUCGCCGUGCUGGAGUUGCUCCAGGGCCUGGAGUCCCUCGGCUGCAUCCGGAAGCGCUGGCUGAGAAAGCCGAGGCCUGUCUCGCUCUUCUCUACACCCGUGGUGGAAGAGGUGGAAGUGCCCUCCAGCCUGGACGAGAGCCCCAUGGCUUUCUAUGAGCCCACCUUGGACUGUACCCUCCGGCUGGGCCGUGUGUUCCCCCAUGAGGUCAACUGGAACAAGUGGAUCCACCUCUAGGACCCCUGUGGGCGUCCCCUCCCUCCCAGCCACCGCCUGCCACACCACUCCUGC